This 428-nucleotide long non-coding RNA is filed under the name Gorilla gorilla gorilla (western lowland gorilla). RNAcentral describes it as "lncRNA (ENSGGOG00000044397.1)". The record is from RNAcentral. Lineage: Eukaryota; Metazoa; Chordata; Mammalia; Primates; Hominidae.
GCUUGGUUUUGGGAACUAAAAAAUGAAAAAAGGAAAAGCCAUAAUCUUGAAAGGCAACAAGAGAGAAAACUGCUAACAGGAUCUUGAUUAAAUUUCUCCCUCUUAGAGAAUGUUGGACCGACGACACAAGACCUCAGACUUGUGUUAUUCUAGCAGCUGAACACACCCCAGGCUCUUCUGACCGGCAGUGGCUCUGGAAGCAGUCUGGUCUAUAGAGUUAUGGAUUCACUACCAGAUUCUACUGUAUGCUCUGACAACUAUGACCACAAUGGUCCACCCACAAAUGAAUUAUCAGGAGUGAACCCAGAGGCACGUAUGAAUGAAAGGUGAGUUAUGCAUAUGUGUGUCUUUAUUUAUCGAAUUAUAACUGAGCAUAGAAGUAUUCACACACACAGGCACAUAAACAAAUAUAUCCAUCCAUCCAUCCA